UUCCAGACUCCUACGGGAGGCAGCAGUGAGGAAUAUUGGUCAAUGGACGAGAGUCUGAACCAGCCAAGUAGCGUGAAGGAUGACUGCCCUAUGGGUUGUAAACUUCUUUUAUAUGGGAAUAAAAUGUUCCACGUGUGGGAUUUUGUAUGUACCAUAUGAAUAAGGAUCGGCUAACUCCGUGCCAGCAGCCGCGGUAAUACGGAGGAUCCGAGCGUUAUCCGGAUUUAUUGGGUUUAAAGGGUGCGCAGGCGGCUUGUUAAGUCGGGGGUAAAAGCCCGGGGCUCACCCCCGGCGAGCCGUUGAAACUGGCGGGCUGGAGUUGGAGAGAAGUACGCGGAAUGCGCGGUGUAGCGGUGAAAUGCUUAGAUAUCGCGCAGAACCCCGAUUGCGAAGGCAGCAUACCGGCGCCCAACUGACGCUGAAGCACGAAAGCGUGGGUAUCGAACAGGAUUAGAUACCCUAGUAAC
This 467-nucleotide ribosomal RNA is filed under the name uncultured bacterium. RNAcentral describes it as "bacterial SSU rRNA". It matches the Rfam family "Bacterial small subunit ribosomal RNA", at positions 329 to 795 of the family's 1533-position model. The record is from RNAcentral.